Molecule: ribosomal RNA, 394 nt
Filed under: uncultured bacterium
Lineage: Bacteria
Description: bacterial SSU rRNA
Rfam family: Bacterial small subunit ribosomal RNA
Source: RNAcentral
CGUAUGCAACCUGCCCCUGUCAGGGGGACAACCCGCCGAAAGGCGGGCUAAUCCCGCGUAAAUCCUCCGAGGGCAUCCUCGGAGGAGGAAAGGAUUUAUCCGGACAGGGAUGGGCAUGCGGCGCAUUAGGCAGUUGGCGGGGUAACGGCCCACCAAACCGACGAUGCGUAGGGGUUCUGAGAGGAAGGUCCCCCACACUGGUACUGAGACACGGACCAGACUCCUACGGGAGGCAGCAGUGAGGAAUAUUGGUCAAUGGUCGGAAGACUGAACCAGCCAAGCCGCGUGAAGGAUGAAGGCGCUAAGCGUCGUAAACUUCUUUUGUCAAGGGACAAAAAGAGAUAUGUAUAUCUCCUUGAGGGUACUUGAAGAAAAAGCAUCGGCUAACUCCGUG